AGAGUUUGAUCAUGGCUCAGGACGAACGCUGGCGGCGUGCUUAACACAUGCAAGUCGAGCGAGAAACCUUCGGGUUUCUAGCGGCGGACGGGUGAGUAACACGUGGGUAACCUGCCUCAAAGUGGGGGAUAGCCUUCCGAAAGGAAGAUUAAUACCGCAUAACAUUGUAGCUUCGCAUGAAGCAGCAAUUAAAGGAGCAAUCCGCUUUGAGAUGGACCCGCGGCGCAUUAGCUAGUUGGAGAGGUAACGGCUCACCAAGGCGACGAUGCGUAGCCGACCUGAGAGGGUGAUCGGCCACAUUGGAACUGAGACACGGUCCAGACUCCUACGGGAGGCAGCAGUGGGGAAUAUUGCACAAUGGGCGAAAGCCUGAUGCAGCAACGCCGCGUGAGUGAUGAAGGUCUUCGGAUUGUAAAGCUCUGUCUUUUGGGACGAUAAUGACGGUACCAAAGGAGGAAGCCACGGCUAACUACGUGCCAGCAGCCGCGGUAAUACGUAGGUGGCAAGCGUUGUCCGGAAUUAC
This 523-nucleotide ribosomal RNA is filed under the name bacterium enrichment culture. Its description in RNAcentral is "bacterial SSU rRNA". It matches the Rfam family "Bacterial small subunit ribosomal RNA", at positions 8 to 554 of the family's 1533-position model. The record is from RNAcentral.